GGACUACGGGGGUAUCUAAUCCGGUUUGCUCCCCCAGCUUUCGUCCCUCACUGUCGGAGCCGUUCUGGUGAGAUGCCUUCGCCAUAGGUCGUCCCACCGGGAUUACAGGAUUUCACUCCUACCCCGGCAGUACCUCUCACCUCUCCCGGUCCCUAGAACCACAGUAUCCCCUGAACGCCUAUCAGUUAAGCCGAUAGAUUUCUCAAGGGACUUGUGAAUCCAGCUACGGACCCUUUAAGCCCAGUAAAAGCGGCCACCACUCGAGCCGCCGGUAUUACCGCGGCGGCUGGCACCGGUCUUGCCCGGCCCUUUCUUCACCAGUUUUUUACACUGGUGGACAGCCAGCCUGUGCUGGCACUCGGGGUUUCCUUAUCACGGUUGCCCGCAUUGUAAAGUUUUCGCGCCUGCUGCCCCCCAUAGG
RNAcentral lists this ribosomal RNA (421 nucleotides) under uncultured Methanospirillum sp. RNAcentral's name for it is "partial 16S ribosomal RNA". Lineage: Archaea; Methanobacteriati; Methanobacteriota; Methanomicrobia; Methanomicrobiales; Methanospirillaceae. The record is from RNAcentral.